UACGAAGGGGGCUAGCGUUGCUCGGAAUUACUGGGCGUAAAGCGCACGUAGGCGGCUUUCUAAGUCGGGGGUGAAAUCCUGGAGCUCAACUCCAGAACUGCCUUCGAUACUGGAGAGCUUGAGUCCGGGAGAGGUGAGUGGAACUGCGAGUGUAGAGGUGAAAUUCGUAGAUACUCGCAAGAACACCAGUGGCGAAGGCGGCUCACUGGCCCGGUACUGACGCUGAGGUGCGAAAGCGUGGGGAGCAAACAGG
This 253-nucleotide ribosomal RNA is filed under the name uncultured bacterium. RNAcentral describes it as "partial 16S ribosomal RNA". It matches the Rfam family "Bacterial small subunit ribosomal RNA", at positions 524 to 776 of the family's 1533-position model. The record is from RNAcentral.